ACGGAAGGCAGCAGUGGGGAAUAUUGCACAAUGGGGGAAACCCCGAUGCAGCGACGCCGCGUGAGUGAAGAAGUUAUUCGUAAUGUAAAGCUCUAUCAGCAGGGAAGAAAAUGACGGUACCUGACUAAGAAGCCCCGGCUAACUACGUGCCAGCAGCCGCGGUAAUACGUAGGGGGCAAGCGUUAUCCGGAUUUACUGGGUGUAAAGGGAGCGUAGACGGUCUAGCAAGUCUGAUGUGAAAGGCAGGGGCUCAACUCCUGGACUGCAUUGGAAACUGUUAGUCUUGAGUGUCGGAGAGGUAAGCGGAAUUCCUAGUGUAGCGGUGAAAUGCGUAGAUAUUAGGAGGAACACCAGUGGCGAAGGCGGCUUACUGGACGAUAACUGACGUUGAGGCUCGAAAGCGUGGGGAGCAAACAGGAUUAGAUACCCUGGUA
RNAcentral lists this ribosomal RNA (434 nucleotides) under uncultured Lachnospiraceae bacterium. Its description in RNAcentral is "partial 16S ribosomal RNA". It matches the Rfam family "Bacterial small subunit ribosomal RNA", at positions 341 to 792 of the family's 1533-position model. Lineage: Bacteria; Bacillati; Bacillota; Clostridia; Lachnospirales; Lachnospiraceae. The record is from RNAcentral.